CCUACGGGGGGCAGCAGUGGGGAAUAUUGGACAAUGAGGGGAACCCUGAUCCAGCCAUGCCGCGUGUGUGAAGAAGGCCCUCGGGUUGUAAAGCACUUUCAGUGAGGAAGAACGCCUGGUGGUUAAUACCCAUCAGGAAAGACAUCACUCACAGAAGAAGCACCGGCUAACUCCGUGCCAGCAGCCGCGGUAAUACGGAGGGUGCGAGCGUUAAUCGGAAUUACUGGGCGUAAAGCGCGCGUAGGUGGCUUGAUAAGCCGGUUGUGAAAGCCCCGGGCUCAACCUGGGAACGGCAUCCGGAACUGUCAAGCUAGAGUGCAGGAGAGGAAGGUAGAAUUCCCGGUGUAGCGGUGAAAUGCGUAGAGAUCGGGAGGAAUACCAGUGGCGAAGGCGGCCUUCUGGACUGACACUGACACUGAGGUGCGAAAGCGUGGGUAGCAAACAGGAUUAGAUACCCUUGUAGUC
This 465-nucleotide ribosomal RNA is filed under the name Vreelandella stevensii. RNAcentral describes it as "partial 16S ribosomal RNA". It matches the Rfam family "Bacterial small subunit ribosomal RNA", at positions 338 to 795 of the family's 1533-position model. The record is from RNAcentral. Lineage: Bacteria; Pseudomonadati; Pseudomonadota; Gammaproteobacteria; Oceanospirillales; Halomonadaceae.